RNAcentral lists this ribosomal RNA (387 nucleotides) under uncultured bacterium. RNAcentral's name for it is "bacterial SSU rRNA". It matches the Rfam family "Bacterial small subunit ribosomal RNA", at positions 103 to 507 of the family's 1533-position model. The record is from RNAcentral.
CGGGUGAGUAACACGUGACCAACCUGCCUCACACAUCGGGAUAACUGCCGGAAACGGCAGCUAAUACCGGAUACUAUCCCUCCUCCGCAUGGAGGAAGGAUGAAAGCUUUCGCGGUGUGAGAUGGGGGUCGCGGCCCAUCAGGUAGUGGGUAGGGUAGCGGCCUACCUAGCCUACGACGGGUAGCCGGACUGAGAGGUCGAUCGGCCACAUUGGGACUGAGAUACGGCCCAGACUCCUACGGGAGGCAGCAGUGGGGAAUAUUGCGCAAUGGGGGAAACCCUGACGCAGCAACGCCGCGUGCGGGAUGAAGGCCUUCGGGUUGUAAACCGCUUUCAGCAGGGAAGACAUCGACGGUACCUGAAGAAGAAGCCCCGGCUAACUACGUG